RNAcentral lists this ribosomal RNA (506 nucleotides) under uncultured bacterium. RNAcentral's name for it is "partial 16S ribosomal RNA". It matches the Rfam family "Bacterial small subunit ribosomal RNA", at positions 28 to 523 of the family's 1533-position model. The record is from RNAcentral.
GAUGAACGCUAGCUACAGGCUUAACACAUGCAAGUCGAGGGGUAACAAGAGAAAAGCUUGCUUUUCUUGUUGACGACCGGCGCACGGGUGAGUAACGCGUAUCCAACCUGCCUAUAACUAGGGAAUAACCUUGCGAAAGUAAGACUAAUACCCUAUGAUUUCCUUUGAUGACAUCAGAUUAGGAAUAAAGAUUUAUCGGUUAUAGAUGGGGAUGCGUCUGAUUAGCUUGUUGGCGGGGUAACGGCCCACCAAGGCAACGAUCAGUAGGGGUUCUGAGAGGAAGGUGCCCCACAUUGGAACGGAGACACAGUCCAAACUCCUACGGGAGGCAGCAGUGAGGAAUAUUGGUCAAUGGGCGGAAGCCUGAACCAGCCAAGUAGCGUGCAGGAUGACGGCCCUAUGGGUUGUAAACUGCUUUUACACAGGAAUAAAGUUAGCCACGUGUGGUUAUUUGUAGGUACUGUAUGAAUAAGGACCGGCUAAUUCCGUGCCAGCCGCCGCCGUAA